Long non-coding RNA from Cornus florida, 516 nucleotides. RefSeq lists it as uncharacterized. The record is from RefSeq and is a predicted model, not a curated record. NCBI's taxonomy places the organism in Eukaryota, Viridiplantae, Streptophyta, Magnoliopsida, Cornales, Cornaceae. The transcript is spliced from 3 exons.
AAAACCCAUAUAUUUCAGUUUAUCUAUCUCCUGCAAGAAUCAAAAGUUCAAAACCUUUUACCUAUAUCAAAACCCAUAUCGGCAUAACAUUUCAGAUUGUUCAAAAAAUCAAAACCCAUAUCUUUCAGUUUCCAUCGCCCGCUGCUCCUGUUCGGGUUUGCCGUUCUCAAGCUUCAGCCGCUAGCCCACUGUCUCUCAACUCUCAAGCUUGCCCCCCCUCUCUCUGCAACUGCUAACUUGGUUAGCAUUGGGCCUUAACAUUUAGCAAGAACAAGUUUCAAGAAACAUGUCUCCUCAGUCAUCAGGUCUCUUUUCUGACAGAAGAGAGUUUAUGGGAAUGGGUGGAGUGGGCAAAAAAAAUAGGUCUGUUUUUUUUGCCUAGCUAAUUGAAUUAUAUAAAUCAUCCUACCGUUGUAGCAGUGAUUUUUGUUUUUGUUUUUGUUUUCUUCAUUUUUUAAUGUUAAUCUUAAAUUUUCAGCUUGGUCGACCAAGCUUUUACAGGAACGAAGUAUUCUA